GUGUCUAUAGACUGUAUAUUAUUAACAGUCUAUGAUAAUAACGUCUUUUUUAACGUCCUAUUUUAAACGUCCGUCAGUUGGUAGUUAACGGACGUGUGUAAAGUGUGUGCUUUACCAAAGUUGAUCUUAACACAAAUGUGCUAUGGGAACACUAUAAGGUAUCCUCAGUGAAUGAGACAAUGCUGCAUCUGUCUCUGUGUCGUCAGACGGGAUAUGGAAGGAGGCUCUUCCUCACCUGAUGUCUUUACUGAGUUACAAGAACAAGGGGAGCCGGGGAGCAUCUGCCGGAGCCGAGACAGGAGUCGGCGUUCUUACAGUAAGAGAACAAAUCAUUACAGCAGCGCAUACUGCCUAAUCAUAGACAAACAGAGGAAGGAUGACCACAUGGGUGUAUGUUCCACACACUACAAAUGAAGUAGAAUAAGGGAAAGCAAACCAGCAAUUACAUGCAAAUGCACAUUUUUGAGGCAACAAUCUGCUUUUUUUGCUGCCUGUUGAAACAUUGCAAUAACAUGCCAUUUGAGAAGUUUGCACUGCAAUAACUUUGGUGGCUAGGACUGAGAAAUAUUGAUACAGAAACAUGAGAGCAAAAAACAAUGUAGCUAUAUUUCAAAAUGUGUGAUACAGAAAGUGUGGAUAGUUGCAGAGAAGUUUUCAA
Molecule: long non-coding RNA, 658 nt
Organism: Sander lucioperca (pikeperch)
Lineage: Eukaryota; Metazoa; Chordata; Actinopteri; Perciformes; Percidae
Exons: 3
Source: RefSeq, a predicted model, not a curated record